UAGGGAAUCUUCCGCAAUGGACGCAAGUCUGACGGAGCAACGCCGCGUGAGUGAAGAAGGAUUUCGGUUCGUAAAACUCUGUUGUUAGAGAAGAACAGCGCAUAGAGUAACUGUUAUGCGUGUGACGGUAUCUAACCAGAAAGCCACGGCUAACUACGUGCCAGCAGCCGCGGUAAUACGUAUGUCACGAGCGUUAUCCGGAUUUAUUGGGCGUAAAGCGCGUCUAGGUGGUUAUGUAAGUCUGAUGUGAAAAUGCAGGGCUCAACUCUGUAUUGCGUUGGAAACUGUGUAACUAGAGUACUGGAGAGGUAAGCGGAACUACAAGUGUAGAGGUGAAAUUCGUAGAUAUUUGUAGGAAUGCCGAUGGGGAAGCCAGCUUACUGGACAGAUACUGACGCUGAAGCGCGAAAGCGUGGGUAGCAAACAGG
Molecule: ribosomal RNA, 428 nt
Filed under: Bacteroidota bacterium
Lineage: Bacteria; Pseudomonadati; Bacteroidota
Description: Bacteroidetes bacterium partial 16S ribosomal RNA
Rfam family: Bacterial small subunit ribosomal RNA
Source: RNAcentral